AACUAGUAGAGAGUGCUUUGUGAAUGUGUGAGGGAAAGAUGAGACAUUGAGGGAAGAUUGGACAGCUGCCUAGAGGGAAAGGAAAAAGAGGGCUGGAAAACGUGAGAGGAAGAAGAAGGAGGAGAACCAGCAGGAGAAGAGAAAGAAUAGUGUCAAACCUUCCUCAAACUUAGUUAGAUUCGAAAGGUAUGGGUCAUGAAACUCCCUUCCUCUUCUCCUUAAGACCAGAAAUGGAAAUGAAGAAGAAAACCCUAAGAAAAUUGACCUAAGACCUAAGCUAGCUGUGAAGGAAACUGAAAUUAACUAGGAGGACAAGGAAAUAGAAAUGAAAUGAAGCCAAUUUCAGAACAUCUAACAAAGAAAAAAUGAAUAAAGUGGAAAUAACAAAUCAUGGUAGAGGGCUGACUUUAACUAUGGGGUUGGCCAGCAUGCAUGUGUGUGUUCUUCUGGGAUUUGUUGAAGGAUUAUGUGCUGAAAUUGAUGGUUUCAAUGUGUGUGUUCUGCUGGAAUUUAUUGAAAGAUUAUAUGUUGUAAUUGAUGGUUUUCAAUGUGUGUGUUCUGCUGGGAUUUUGUUGAAGGAUUAUGUGCUGAAAUUGAUGGUUUCAAUGUGUGUGUUCUGCUGGAACUUAGUGACAGUGUAUAUGCUAGGGUUGUUACAGCAUGUGUGGUAUGUGUUCAUGCCAAAAUGUGUGUUGUGUAGCAAAAUUGUGAUUCGCUGCCGAAACUGCGUCAGCUGCAGCGAAUUAGCAUUCGCUGCCGAAACUGAGUUAUCUGCAGCGAAUUUGUGAUUCGCUGCCGAAACUGAGUCUUCUGCAGUGAAUUAGCAUUCGCUGUCGAAUUGUGUGUUAUGCAGCGAAAUUGUGAUUCGCUGCCGAAAUUGUAUCGGCUGCAGUGAAUUAGCAUCGCUGUUGAAACUGAGUUGUCUGCAGCGAAUUUGUGAUUCGCUGCCGAAACUGAGUCUUCUGCAGCGAAUUAGCAUUCGCUGCCAAAUUGUGUGUUGUGCAGCGAAUUGUGAUUCGUUGCCAAAACUGUGUCAGCUGCAGCGAAUUAGCAUUCGCUGCCGAAUUAUGUGUUGUGCAGCGAAUUGUGAUUCGCUGCCGAAACUGUGUCAGCUGCAGCGAAUUAGCAUUCGCUGCCGAAUUAUGUGUUGUGCAGCGAAUUGCGAAUUAGCAUUCACUAUCGAAUUAUGUGUUGUGCAGCGAAUUGUGAUUCGCUCCUGAAACUUUGUCAGCUGCAGCGAAUUAGCAUUCGCUGCCGAAUUAUGUGUUGUGCAGCGAAAUUAUGAUUCACUGCUGAAACUGUGUCAGCUGCAGCGAAUUAGCAUUCGCUGCCGAAUUAUGUGUUGUGCAGCGAAAUUGUGAUUCGCUGCCGAAACUGUAUCGGCUGCAUCGAAUUAGCAUUCGCUGCCGAAACUGAGUUGUCUGCAGCGAAUUUGUGAUUCGCUGGCGAAACUGAGUCUUCUGCAGCGAAUUAGCAUUCGCUGCCGAAUUGUGUGUUGUGCAGUGAAAUUGUGAUUCGCUGCCAAAACUGUGUCGGCUGCAGCGAAUUAGCAUUCCCUGCCGAAACUGAGUUGUCUGCAGCGAAUUAGCAUUCGCUGCCGAAUUGUGUGUUGUGCAGCGAAAUUGUGAUUCGCUGCCGAAACUGAGUUGUCUGCUACGAGUUUGCAUUCGCUGCUGAAUUGGCUGCCUGCAGCGAAACAGUUUUCUCUGCCGAAUUGGGCAGCCUGCAUCGAACUAGUUCUCGCUACCGAUUUCUACAAUAAGCCUCCUAGGCAGAAAUGACUUAAAUGCUAGUAACAAUUUCAUGGUAUGAUGAUGUAAAAUGUGGAACACUCGAAUGUGACACAUAUGAACUCUUGAAAUAAGUGUGGUGACGAAUGUGAUUGAAAAAUACAAAUGUAUUGAUUUGUGACCAUUGAUGUCUUAGGUGGUGCGGUCGGGAUUGGACCAUCGUCAAGACAAGAACAACCUACAGGUGGAGCAGGUAGGUGACUUGCACCUUCCUUUUUCAUACGUUGAAUAAUGAAAUACUUUAUCAUGAAUAUUACCAUAUUGUGUUAGAACAUAUAUUAGAUUGUCGAACGGAUGGCCGGGACAAAGAAUGAUUAGCUUUGGCUAAUGGCAUCCGAAUGGAUGACCAGGAUGAAGGAUUGAUUAGCUUUGGCUAAUGGCAUCCGAAUGGAUGACCAGGAUGAAGGAUUGAUUAGCUUUGGCUAAUGGCAUCCGAAUGGAUGACCAGGAUGAAGGAUUGAUUAGCUUCGGCUAAUGGCAUCCGAAUGGAUGACCAUGACGAACGACUGAUUAGCUUUGGCUAAUGGCAUCCAAUGGAUGGCCGGGACAAAGAAUGAUUAGCUUUGGCUAAUGGCAUCGUAAUGGAUGACCGGGACGAACGACUGAUUAGCUUUGGCUAAUGACAUCCAAUGGAUGGCCGGGACAAAGAAUGAUUAGCUUUGGCUAAUGGCAUCCGAAUGGAUGACCGGGACGAACGACUGAUUAGCUUUGGCUAAUGGCAUCCAAAUGGAUGGCCGGGAUAAAUGAAUGAUUAGCUUCGGCUGGAUGACCGGGACGAACGAUUGAUUAGCUUUGGCUAAUGGCAUCCGAAGUGGAUGACCGGGGUGAGUGAACGGUUAACCUCAGCAAAUGAUGCCUUAAGAGGACAGCCGGGUUUAAGAUUAUGGUUGAUUGCAAAAAUUGGUGCAUCUAUAUGUACUACAAGCUGUUUAUACCAAGUACAUGAAGAAAUUAUAAAUGUUAAUGCUUCAUUUAACUGGCAGACCGUUUAGUUACCAUUAUUAUUAUUAUUAUUAUUAUUAAGUAAUUGCAUUCUCUUAAAUGUUUUGUACUGCAGUAGGGACGUCACACCAACGAGAUGUCUAGGAAACCCAAUACACGGGAACCUACUUUUGCAAGAAAUCAUGUAGAUGCAUUCUAAAUCACAAUGUAUUUUGUAUUAAUCAAUGUACUGAAUGUAUAACUUUUAUUAGAUCCUUUUGUUUAAAUUCGUAAUGGCUAUUAGUAGGAUAGGAAUGCAAACUCAUGUCUAUGUAUGUAUAUUUUUAAUAUGAACUU
Molecule: long non-coding RNA, 3068 nt
Filed under: Populus trichocarpa (black cottonwood)
Lineage: Eukaryota; Viridiplantae; Streptophyta; Magnoliopsida; Malpighiales; Salicaceae
Description: long non-coding RNA (PTRI_LNC001801)
Source: RNAcentral